RNAcentral lists this ribosomal RNA (465 nucleotides) under Vreelandella stevensii. RNAcentral's name for it is "partial 16S ribosomal RNA". It matches the Rfam family "Bacterial small subunit ribosomal RNA", at positions 338 to 795 of the family's 1533-position model. The record is from RNAcentral. Lineage: Bacteria; Pseudomonadati; Pseudomonadota; Gammaproteobacteria; Oceanospirillales; Halomonadaceae.
CCUCCGUGGUGCAGCAGUGGGGAAUAUUGGACAAUGGGCGAAAGCCUGAUCCAGCCAUGCCGCGUGUGUGAAGAAGGCCUUCGGGUUGUAAAGCACUUUCAGUGGGGAAGAAAGCCUUGGGGCUAAUACCCUCGAGGAAGGACAUCACCCACAGAAGAAGCACCGGCUAACUCCGUGCCAGCAGCCGCGGUAAUACGGAGGGUGCGAGCGUUAAUCGGAAUUACUGGGCGUAAAGCGCGCGUAGGCGGUCUGAUAAGCCGGUUGUGAAAGCCCCGGGCUCAACCUGGGAACGGCAUCCGGAACUGUCAGGCUAGAGUGCAGGAGAGGAAGGUAGAAUUCCCGGUGUAGCGGUGAAAUGCGUAGAGAUCGGGAGGAAUACCAGUGGCGAAGGCGGCCUUCUGGACUGACACUGACGCUGAGGUGCGAAAGCGUGGGUAGCAAACAGGAUUAGAUACCCCAGUAGUC